This 880-nucleotide ribosomal RNA is filed under the name Alteromonadales bacterium HOT2E5. Its description in RNAcentral is "bacterial SSU rRNA". It matches the Rfam family "Bacterial small subunit ribosomal RNA", at positions 89 to 969 of the family's 1533-position model. The record is from RNAcentral. Lineage: Bacteria; Pseudomonadati; Pseudomonadota; Gammaproteobacteria; Alteromonadales.
UGACGAGUGGCGGACGGGUGAGUAAUGCUUGGGAACUUGCCUUUGCGAGGGGGAUAACAGUUGGAAACGACUGCUAAUACCGCAUAAUGUCUUCGGACCAAACGGGGCUUCGGCUCCGGCGCAAAGAGAGGCCCAAGUGAGAUUAGCUAGUUGGUAAGGUAACGGCUUACCAAGGCGACGAUCUCUAGCUGUUCUGAGAGGAAGAUCAGCCACACUGGGACUGAGACACGGCCCAGACUCCUACGGGAGGCAGCAGUGGGGAAUAUUGCACAAUGGGGGAAACCCUGAUGCAGCCAUGCCGCGUGUGUGAAGAAGGCCUUCGGGUUGUAAAGCACUUUCAGUUGUGAGGAAAAGUUAGUAGUUAAUACCUGCUAGCCGUGACGUUAACAACAGAAGAAGCACCGGCUAACUCCGUGCCAGCAGCCGCGGUAAUACGGAGGGUGCGAGCGUUAAUCGGAAUUACUGGGCGUAAAGCGCACGCAGGCGGUUUGUUAAGCUAGAUGUGAAAGCCCCGGGCUCAACCUGGGAUGGUCAUUUAGAACUGGCAGACUAGAGUCUUGGAGAGGGGAGUGGAAUUCCAGGUGUAGCGGUGAAAUGCGUAGAUAUCUGGAGGAACAUCAGUGGCGAAGGCGACUCCCUGGCCAAAGACUGACGCUCAUGUGCGAAAGUGUGGGUAGCGAACAGGAUUAGAUACCCUGGUAGUCCACACCGUAAACGCUGUCUACUAGCUGUGUGUGCCUUUANGGNNGUGCGUAGCGAAGCUAACGCGCUAAGUAGACCGCCUGGGGGAGUACGGCCGCAAGGUUAAAACUCAAAUGAAUUGACGGGGGCCCGCACAAGCGGUGGAGCAUGUGGUUUAAUUCGAUGCAACGCGAAGAAC